UCUCCUUUAGUGAGUACAAGUGAAUGAUUUAGUACAAAUGACAUUAGGAAACAUUGUGGGAGAAUGUUCUCCUUUUAUAGAAGAGAGUUUCUAGCUUUGUUUUGACAUUGACACGUGUCGUGUUGUAAUUGGCUUCUGAUGUUGACAUGUGUCGCGCUAUGAUUGGCUUCUGAUGUCAACAAGUGUCACGCUAUGAUUGGCCUCCUGGUUUGAGGGAUUGGUCAAGUAUGGUACAAACAACAUCCAUAUGAAACAUGUACAUAAAUCCCAGCAGUGUCCAGAUGAAACUUUCUUUACCUUAAUGCCUCUGAUUUUGCUCACCAUCCAUCACAUAAGCUUCAAAUCCAACAAGCUUGAGAUCAAAUAUCUUAGCCUAAUUAGUCAAGAUCCCCAAAUUGAGCGAAUUAACAAUAGCCCUCUAAACUUAUUCACAACAUUGGGCUCCAUUCACUGAGCAUGUUAGCUCGAUCCAAUUUAUUAUUAAGAUUGGGGUGAAGUGCUGAUUAAGUCUAUGAACUAUCAUCUUAGUGAAAAUUAGAUUCCUGAAUUAUGUUUUCUAUAAAAUAAGUCCCUAAAUUCAUUAAAAAUUGCUAAUUUCAUCCCUACUAUUAUAUUCAAAGUUAUUUUAUCCAAUUUUUCGUCAACUUAAGUCACUUGAUACACUUUAGAGUGUGUUACCGUUCUUUUCUCGCCUGUAAACCCUUAACAUUUCAUAUAAGUUGCGAAUCUAACGUCUAAUUUACCCUUCUAUGUAAAAUUAUCAAUCUACCAUCCAAUGUGUAUCACAUACAAAUAACGUGACUUAAGUUGACGGAAAAUUGAAUAGUAGUCUCAAAUGUAAUACUAGGGAUGUAAUUGGCAUAUAUUUUUAAUUUUAGGACUGAUUUUUCUUAAAAAAAAAUAGUUUAGGGACCUAAUUUUCACUUAAGUGAUAAUUCAGGGACUAAAUUGGCAAUUAACCCUUAAGAUUGGGAGAUUUAUUGUGGGGAUGAAAGUAGGGGUAGGCAAACGGGUCCACGACCCACGGGUCGAGAUGGGUCCAUGCGAUUUAAGACGGGUACAGGGCGGG
RNAcentral lists this long non-coding RNA (1069 nucleotides) under Malus domestica (apple). RNAcentral describes it as "long non-coding RNA (MDOM_LNC003667)". Lineage: Eukaryota; Viridiplantae; Streptophyta; Magnoliopsida; Rosales; Rosaceae. The record is from RNAcentral.